AGAGUUUGAUCCUGGCUCAGAACGAACGCUGGCGGCAGGCUUAACACAUGCAAGUCGAACGCCCCGCAAGGGGAGUGGCAGACGGGUGAGUAACACGUGGGAACGUACCUUUCGGUUCGGAAUAACUCAGGGAAACUUGAGCUAAUACCGGAUACGUCCGCAAGGAGAAAGAUUUAUUGCCGAAAGAUCGGCCCGCGUAGGAUUAGCUAGUUGGUGAGGUAAUGGCUCACCAAGGCGACGAUCCUUAGCUGGUCUGAGAGGAUGAUCAGCCACACUGGGACUGAGACACGGCCCAGACUCCUACGGGAGGCAGCAGUGGGGAAUAUUGGACAAUGGGCGAAAGCCUGAUCCAGCCAUGCCGCGUGAAUGAUGAAGGCCUUAGGGUUGUAAAGUUCUUUCAACGGUGAAGAUAAUGACGGUAACCGAGAGAG
This 431-nucleotide ribosomal RNA is filed under the name uncultured Methylosinus sp. RNAcentral's name for it is "bacterial SSU rRNA". It matches the Rfam family "Bacterial small subunit ribosomal RNA", at positions 8 to 487 of the family's 1533-position model. Lineage: Bacteria; Pseudomonadati; Pseudomonadota; Alphaproteobacteria; Hyphomicrobiales; Methylocystaceae. The record is from RNAcentral.